Molecule: ribosomal RNA, 255 nt
Filed under: uncultured bacterium
Lineage: Bacteria
Description: partial 16S ribosomal RNA
Rfam family: Bacterial small subunit ribosomal RNA
Source: RNAcentral
UACGGAGGGUGCAAGCGUUAAUCGGAAUUACUGGGCGUAAAGCGUACGUAGGCGGCUUGUUAAGCAAGAUGUGAAAGCCCCGGGCUCAACCUGGGAAUGGCAUUUUUGAACUGGCGGGCUCGAGUUCUGAAGAGGGUGGUAGGAAUUUCCUGUGUAGCGGUGAAAUGCGUAGAUAUAGGAAGGAAUACCGGUGGCGAAGGCGGCCACCUGGUCAGAAACUGACGCUGAGGUACGAAAGCGUGGGGAGCAAACAGG